Mytilus trossulus (common blue mussel) is the source of this 374-nucleotide long non-coding RNA. RefSeq lists it as uncharacterized. The transcript is spliced from 4 exons. NCBI's taxonomy places the organism in Eukaryota, Metazoa, Mollusca, Bivalvia, Mytilida, Mytilidae. The record is from RefSeq and is a predicted model, not a curated record.
CCUCGUUUUGACUUUUAAACUUCCUGGUCUUCCAGAAUAUGCUGUCAACCUAAAGUUUAAAAAGUCCGCUUUAAACCAACAAGAAAUUAACAGAUUAUUAUUGACCUGUGGCAGCUGGUAUUAACGCCUGGAUGACACCCUUUGAAAUAAGCUGAAGUUGCAAUUGGAGUUAUAUGAAGGAUAAUUUGUAGUUGUUGGCAGUUUCAGAACUAGAACCAACAGACUUCUGUUUGGGACUUUGGGUACUUAAUCAUACUCGGAUAUAAUGGAAGAUUGGGAUAAGAGACUUUGUACAGCUGCUGAGGAGGGAAAUAUUAAAGAUGUGGAAUCAUCUUUACAGAAUGGAGCUAAUUUGGAAAAUACAAGUCUUGGUG